Molecule: ribosomal RNA, 496 nt
Filed under: Aleochara zerchei
Lineage: Eukaryota; Metazoa; Arthropoda; Insecta; Coleoptera; Staphylinidae
Description: partial 16S ribosomal RNA
Rfam family: Bacterial large subunit ribosomal RNA
Source: RNAcentral
UAAUUUAAAGUCUAGCCUGCCCAAUGAUAAUUUUAAUGGCCGCAGUAUUUUGACUGUGCAAAGGUAGCAUAAUCAUUAGUUUCUUAAUUAGAAACUGGAAUGAAAGGUUGAACGAAAAAAUAACUGUCUCUUUAUAAUUUUUUUAGAAUUUUAUUUUUAAGUUAAAAAGCUUAAAUAGAUUUGAAAGACGAGAAGACCCUAUAGAGUUUAAUAUUUUCUAAAUUGAAUUUUUAAAUAGAAUAAUUUUUAUUUAAUUGAAGAAAAUAUUUAAUUGGGGUGAUUGAAAAAUUUAAUUAACUUUUUUUAUAUUAAAACAUAAAUAUAUGAUUAAUUGAUCCAUUUUUAAUGAUUAAAAGAUUAAAUUACCUUAGGGAUAACAGCGUAAUUUUUUUUAAGAGUUCUUAUCGAUAAAAAAGUUUGCGACCUCGAUGUUGGAUUAAAAUUAAAAUUUGGUGUAGAAGCUAAAUCAUUAGGUCUGUUCGACCUUUAAAAUUUU